This 146-nucleotide unclassified non-coding RNA is filed under the name soil metagenome. RNAcentral's name for it is "partial internal transcribed spacer 1". The record is from RNAcentral.
UAAUAAGUGUUUUAUGGCACUUUUUUAAAUCCAUAUCCACCUUGUGUGCAAUGUCAGUCGAUCUUCUUCAUGGAGAUCGACCAAACAUCAACCUUUAUCUUUUAACUCUUUGUCUGAAAAAUAUUAUGAAUAAACAAUUCAAAAUA